RNAcentral lists this long non-coding RNA (362 nucleotides) under Daucus carota (carrot). Its description in RNAcentral is "long non-coding RNA (DCAR_LNC002832)". Lineage: Eukaryota; Viridiplantae; Streptophyta; Magnoliopsida; Apiales; Apiaceae. The record is from RNAcentral.
UUUCUGUGAUGCCAUCGGCCAAGGGUAUGGUGCCUGAACAUCAUCCACAUUUCAUUGGGACGUAUUGGGGUGCGGUGAGCACUUCAUUCUGUGCUGAGAUUGUGGAAUCAGCUGAUGCCUACCUGUUUGCUGGACCGAUCUUUAAUGACUACAGCUCUGUCGGUUAUUCUUUGCUUCUUAAAAAGGAGAAGGCAAUCAUCUUGCAGCCUGAUCGUGUAGUCAUUGCAAAUGGUCCUACAUUUGGAUGCGUUUUGAUGAAGGAUUUCCUUCAAGCUCUUGCAAAGAGGAUUAAGCACAAUACUACUGCCUUUGAGAAUUACUACAGGAUUUAUGUUCCAGAAGGGAUCCCUCCCAAAAGUGCA